RNAcentral lists this ribosomal RNA (253 nucleotides) under uncultured bacterium. RNAcentral's name for it is "partial 16S ribosomal RNA". It matches the Rfam family "Bacterial small subunit ribosomal RNA", at positions 524 to 776 of the family's 1533-position model. The record is from RNAcentral.
UACGAAGGGGGCUAGCGUUGCUCGGAAUCACUGGGCGUAAAGCGCACGUAGGCGGCUUCUUAAGUCAGGGGUGAAAUCCUGGAGCUCAACUCCAGAACUGCCUUUGAUACUGGGAGGCUCGAGUCCGGGAGAGGUGAGUGGAACUGCGAGUGUAGAGGUGAAAUUCGUAGAUAUUCGCAAGAACACCUGUGGCGAAAGCGGCUCACUGGACCAUUACUGACGCUGAGGCACGAAAGCUAGGGGAGCAAACAGG